This 265-nucleotide long non-coding RNA is filed under the name Bos taurus (domestic cattle). Its description in RNAcentral is "long non-coding RNA NONBTAT005755". Lineage: Eukaryota; Metazoa; Chordata; Mammalia; Artiodactyla; Bovidae. The record is from RNAcentral.
UCUUACUACCGUGAAGUGGAAGCGAGGUGUCUGAGGCCCCAUUCCUUAGGGAGACCAUGCAGAGGUCCUGCACUGACCCAAGUUAGGUUUGACACAGUCCAGCAGGCCAGGGUCCUGGCCAAGUGGCCACAGAGGAGGGAAUGACGUAGGCCACCCUCCCUGAGCUCGUACAGCCCCAUGGGGUGGGGGGCUAGGGCGUCCCUUUCAGCACCAGGUUGGAUGCAGGGACCAACCUACAGCAUAAAGCUUCCGGAAACUAAUUCUC